RNAcentral lists this transfer RNA (24 nucleotides) under Coptotermes frenchi. RNAcentral's name for it is "partial tRNA-Tyr". Lineage: Eukaryota; Metazoa; Arthropoda; Insecta; Blattodea; Rhinotermitidae. The record is from RNAcentral.
UAAUUUAUCUCAGCCACCCCGGUA